Molecule: transfer RNA, 3229 nt
Filed under: Marmota monax (woodchuck)
Lineage: Eukaryota; Metazoa; Chordata; Mammalia; Rodentia; Sciuridae
Rfam family: tRNA (bases 1795-1868)
Source: RNAcentral
CUCAGCCUCCUAUUUGGCUGGCAUUACAGUGGCUGGAAUCACAGGCUGCACCUGGCUAAGAUUCACUUUUACCAGUAGCUCCAUCCCCAAUUAUUUGAGAUAAAUAAUAUUUGUCCUGUAAUGUGGGGGUGGGGGACAGUAAGAUAAAAGCUAGAAAACUUUUCCAAGGUCACAUAAAUAUUGACUGGCCAAAGCAGGGAUUCAAACCAGGAAGUCUGACACCCAUCUUAGCUACUCGCUACCCUGCCUUUUACUCAGAGAAGAAAUAACCACCAUGGCCGUCUUUCCCUAAAGUGAAGUUCAGGUAACUUGUAAAAGUACAUUAUUUUUUUCCUGUCUCCAUCACCAGCUUGGCAGCGAAUCAAUUAGGAAGGGGUCCUUGCAUGGGCAUUUUGGCCUCAGGUAGAUUCAUGAGGCUUUUCUUUGGCUCACUCUACAAAGUUCAGGUUGCACAUGAACUAACGCUGAAAAAGGCCAAACAUUCUUUCCAAAGAAAGAUCCAUUCUUUAUUCUCACUGUCUAUAGAUAACGUAAUGAAGCCCAAAAAUCUUACACCUGCAAUUUGAACUUAAGUGCUGUUUGGUUUCUGUUUCCAGUCAGUUCUCUCCAUCCCCUGUCGUUUUUGCUGCAACUUUCACUGUUUCCAGGGUGUUUCAGGUUUUUGCAGGUGUUCUUCCAAAAUGCCCUUGUGGAAAAAGAGAAUCUUUAUGAGGCCCAGCUCAAAGGUCACUUCAGAGCCUUCCCAGUGCUGUGUAAUCUCUCCUAGCUCCCUACCUCUGUAUAGAGUUCUAUUACAGCAUCGGUAGUGGUGUUGAAAUUACUGUUUACUUACAAGUCAGUGAACUUUGCAAGAACUGUGGCUAAAUGCUUUAGUCCCAGAGGUUCUCACCAGGCUUCGGGUAGAGUAUGUUGUAAAUUGUGCCAAAUAGUCAUUGUUUUAGAACUUUUUUAAAAACAUAUUUUUAAUAUGUUCUCAUUAGUUAUACUUGACAGUAGAAUGCAUUUUGACACAUUGUACACAAAUGGAGUACAGCUUCUCCUUCCUCUACCUGAAUAUGGUGCAGAGUUGUUUUAGGUCCAAUGUUCUAUAGAAUCUUCAAGUUUUUGGCAGCUCCAAGAUGCUUCCCCCCCCCCCCUUUGUAAGGCAGGGGGCAGGUUGUCUCUCCCUAUGUUGCCCAGGCUCUCCUGGAACUUGAGAUACUCCUCAGCCUCCCAAUUGACUGGCAUUACAGUGGCUGGGAUCACAGGUAUGCAACGCUGCACCUGACUAAGAUUCACUUUUACCAGGAGAUGAGAAGCAACAUGGUAUAACAGUGUAAUGAUGGAACCUAGGCUCAGAAAGAUUUGGAAUCCAGGUCUGUUAAAACCAAGUCCCUGAUUACUUCCAGAAAAAAGUAUGGGAAAUUCCUCCCCAUGGCAAGGCAAUGCUGGGGAUCAAACCCAGGGCCUUAUGCAUACUAGACAAACACUCUACAAGUCUGGAAAUGUCCUGAAGGGGCAACAUAUAAAUCAGGCCCUGAUGAGUUUCCAUAGGAAGUAGGUGUUACAGACCAGAUAAUCUAGUAAAAGCUGAGUGUGGUGGUGCAGGCCUGUAAUCCCAGCUCCUUGGGGAGGCUGAGGCAGGAGGAUCCAAGUUUGAGGCCAGCCACAAUAACUUUCAGACCCUGUCUCAAAAUGAAAGAUCAAAGGCUGGGUGUGGUGGGGCAGUCCUGAAAUCCCAGCAGCUCCAGAGGCUGAGACAGGAGGAUGGUGAGUUCAAAGCCAGCUUCAUCAAAAAGCGAGGCACUGGGGGCUGGGGUUGUGGCUCAGAGUUUUAGAGUGCUUGCCUAGCAUGCAUGAGGCACUGGGUUUGAUACCCAGCUACCACAUAAAAAUAAAGAUAUUGUGUCCACCUAUAAUUAAAAAUUUAAAACAAAACAAACAAAAAAGCAAGGUGCUAAGCAACUCAGUGAAACCCUGUUUCUAAAUAAAAUACAAAAUAGGGCUGGGGAGUGGCUCAGUGGUUAAGUGCCCCUGAGUUCAAUCUGCCCUUACCGCCCCUCCCCCUAAACAAAAGAAAAAUCAGGACAGCUGGGGAUGCAUUUCAGUGGCAUCCCCCUCCCAAACAAAAGUCAUUUUCUCCUAUUAAGCAAUAUGUAUGCACAACGUUAGCACCUGCUAGACUUAGGGAACCAGUUGGCAGUGGACUUGAUUAUAGUAAAACAAAACAGCUCUUGCAGGUUUUGCUGAGCAGGAACUCAGGCCAGUACUGCCAGGUAGUACUUUUCCAAGACUUAUUUGGGCAUGGUGUAGAUUAUUGGUGGGAGCACUUGCCUAGCAUGAGAGUCCCUGGGUUCAAUCUCCAGCGCAGAAAACAACAACAAAAAAAUGUUGGCAACUAAUCACUUUAUCUGCCAUUCAGAAUCUUCCUUGUGAGUUCAAUCAAUUUUCUGGUUGCUUGACUGUAAUCUCUGCUUUAGGAAUUGAUCUAAACCAAAGGGAGGAAUUUGUGAACUUUUAACAGUCUUAAAAGAAGUGUAGAGUGGUGCUGAAUUUGGAGUGGUCAGAAUACUUUAGUUUGCAUUUUCUGGGAUUUCUUUAAACUACAGUGACAGAACACAGAUCAGUGAUUGCUUGGGGUGGUGUAAGAAGCAGAAAUUCCCAAGGGGCAUGCUUUAGUCAGCUUUUUUGUUGCUGUGACUAAAUGACCUGACCAGCACAACGGUAGUGGAAGAAAAGUUUACUUGAGGGCUCAGAGUUUCAGAGGUCUUAGUCCACGGAAGGCCAGCCUCUAUUCCUGGGGCUUGAGGUGAGACAGAACAUCAUGGUGGAAGAAUGUGGCAGAGGGAAGCAGCUCACAUCACCAUGAAGCAAGAGAGCGAACUCCACUCUCCAGGUACAAAAUAUAUGCCCCCAGAGCCACACCCCUAAAGCCCACCUCCUUCAACCACAAUUUACCAGCCUUCAGCAAUCAGUUAAUGCCUCAUGGGAUUAAAUCACUGAUUGGGUUAAAGCUCUCACAACCCAAUCAUUUCUCCUCUGAAACUUCUUGCAUUGUCUUACAUGUGAGCCUUUGGAGGACGCCACAUCUAAACUGGGCACAUAAAAAUUUUUAGAAAUUAUGGAUAUGGGGGGAGGUCAUGGAGGUGUUUAUCUUGAUUGUACUGAUGGUUUCAUGAGCACAAGUAUCUCUUGUCAAAUCACACACUUUAAAUGUACAAUUUAUGAGUUCAUUAAAUUUCAAUAAAGC